AUGGCAGAAUCUGCGCAUGCGCGAGGUGGUGGGGGAAAGAUGCCCACUGCCAUUAUCCCUAACCUCUGCAGCUGAGCUACAAACCAGUCGUAAUUAGCGCAGAUAGCGCACAUUUCAGCACUGCUGCAUGUUGUAGUGUGACACGAGGAGCCCGAUGUCUGUGGCAAAUGCGAAACACACUGUCCUGAAUCCGGUGAUCCCAUACACAGGACCCAUACCUGGAGGCCUGCACCCUGGGGAGAUUAUCAUCAUUCAGGGCACUGUACCCCCGGAUGCUGACAGGUUUCAGAUUGACCUGUCGAGCGGCUGCAGCACUAAGCCGCGCUCUGACGUCGCCCUCCACUUCAGCCCUCGCUUCAGAGGCUCUCCCUGUGUGGUCUGCAAGGCCCUGCUGCAGGAGAGCUGGGGCCAAGAGGAGACGCUCCAUCAGCUGCCAUACAAACGAGGAGCCCCCUUUGAGACCAUCAUCCUGGUGCAUGAAGAUGGUUUUAAGGUGGCAGUAAAUGGUACUCACCUGCUGGAAUACAAGCACAGAAUCCCACUAACCAGGGUCGACACGUUUUCUAUUUCAGGGAAAGUCAGGGUGCAUGCUAUUGGCUACAUCCCAAACUCGGCAAUAUAUUCCGAAUCAGGUGAUUUGAGCCUCCCUUACAAAGGCAGUAUUCUCAAAGGACUGAGCCCAGGGCAGCACAUCACAAUCAAAGGACAGGUCAGCAUGUAUCCUCACAGUUUCACAGUGAACCUCCGCAACAGCAGGACUGAGAACAUCGCUCUCCAUCUGAACCCGCGCAUGAAGUCGGGCAUGUUCAUCAGGAACUCAUACCUGAGUGAGUCCUGGGGCCAGGAGGAGCGGGAGCUGCCCUUCUUUCCCUUCUCAUCAGGCGAGUACUUUGAGAUUCUCAUCCUCUGUCAGCCCCAUCAGUUCAAGCUGGCAGUGAAUGGCUCACACUUGUUUGAGUUCAGACAUCGGGUGCAGGACCUGAGCAGCAUUGACCAGCUGGAGAUCAUGGGAGACCUGGAGCUUACUGAUGUGAAACUGUGGUGACUCAGGACCCCAAACUGACAGAAGCCAAUAUUACAGACUGUGUUCUGGUUGUCCUUGCUAAAUUAGCCUAGCACAACGAGCCAGACGAUGGACAGUGAACAUGGCAAACCCUGUGCUGACUUCAUGUUUGUAUGUCAGGUGAGGAGCUUGCAUCUUGGAGCAACCACAGGUCACUGAUUUUAAGAUAGUCUAGCAUUUGUGGUGGCCAUGGACCAUGGAUGGGUCCUACCACAGACUAAACAAAGUCCAGUCUUUCCAGCCCCAACUAGAGGACUGAUGCAUGAGUAGUCAGGCUGUGAGCCACCAUGACUGUUUUCGACUACAAGUCAGGUUUACUUUGGUUCAUUGCUUCUACUGUGGCUAGUGCACUGCUGUGAUAUUCCCUUUGUGCAAUGUAUAAUUGAAACAGGAAGUAUGUAAAUAGCACCAAAAACAUCAAAUAUAACAAUGAAUGAAAGUGAAGAUUAUGUAUACAGCCUGUGUUCCUCUGUAUUGCUCUGUAAAAGGUAAAUAAUAUGUGUUACACUAAAAAUGUUUAAAUUGAUGUGGCUGGUAGACAUGUCAUCGUAGUAAACCAUAUCUCAAACAUUAGGGCAACCUUUACUGGGAGUGAAUUGUACCUGACAGACAAAAAUGUUAUUUUGUUUUAUAAUAUAAAUUUGUAUUGUUUUUGUAUGUAUGAAAAACAAACAGCUGAAUAAUCUUUUUAAGAUGACAGUAUCUUUGUUAAGUAGUGUUGGCAGUGCUUCAGUUUACAGUAGUUUAGCCUGACUUGUCCACAGCCAGUGGGGAACAGCCUCUUCAGAAAGGUCAAGAUCAACUUACUAAGCCUGGCUAGACCCAGAUGUGUCAGCCGUCCAGACACUUACUCGGCCUAGGUCAAGACUGGCUUGGUUUCUCACCCAGAGUUUGCAUUGCUUUCAGUAUGUAUACAUUAUUCACACAAUAAGUGAUUUUCAGUGGUAUAAGAUUUAAAUUAACCUUAGAAAAAUAAAACACCUGGUACCUUUAUGCCGCAUCUGGAAUACC
Monopterus albus (swamp eel) is the source of this 2074-nucleotide RNA transcript. It is a transcript of the gene named galectin 8b, with no coding region annotated. The record is from RefSeq and is a predicted model, not a curated record. NCBI's taxonomy places the organism in Eukaryota, Metazoa, Chordata, Actinopteri, Synbranchiformes, Synbranchidae. The transcript has 9 exons.